Molecule: ribosomal RNA, 253 nt
Filed under: uncultured bacterium
Lineage: Bacteria
Description: partial 16S ribosomal RNA
Rfam family: Bacterial small subunit ribosomal RNA
Source: RNAcentral
UACGAAGGGGGCUAGCGUUGUCCGGAAUUAUUGGGCGUAAAGAGCUUGUAGGCGGUUUGUCGCGUCUGCUGUGAAAUUUCGGGGCUCAACCCCGAACUUGCAGUGGGUACGGGCAGACUAGAGUGUGGUAGGGGAGACUGGAAUUCCUGGUGUAGCGGUGAAAUGCGCAGAUAUCAGGAGGAACACCGAUGGCGAAGGCAGGUCUCUGGGCCGCAACUGACGCUGAGGAGCGAAAGCAUGGGGAGCGAACAGG